This 930-nucleotide ribosomal RNA is filed under the name Phaeosphaeriaceae sp. RNAcentral describes it as "SSU rRNA". It matches the Rfam family "Eukaryotic small subunit ribosomal RNA", at positions 101 to 1041 of the family's 1831-position model. The record is from RNAcentral. Lineage: Eukaryota; Fungi; Ascomycota; Dothideomycetes; Pleosporales; Phaeosphaeriaceae.
UUAAAUCAGUUAUCGUUUAUUUGAUAGUACCUUACUACUUGGAUAACCGUGGUAAUUCUAGAGCUAAUACAUGCUGAAAACCCCAACUUCGGGAGGGGUGUAUUUAUUAGAUAAAAAACCAACGCCCUUCGGGGCUUCUUGGUGAUUCAUGAUAACUUUACGGAUCGCAUGGCCUUGCGCCGGCGACGGUUCAUUCAAAUUUCUGCCCUAUCAACUUUCGAUGGUAAGGUAUUGGCUUACCAUGGUUUCAACGGGUAACGGGGAAUUAGGGUUCGAUUCCGGAGAGGGAGCCUGAGAAACGGCUACCACAUCCAAGGAAGGCAGCAGGCGCGCAAAUUACCCAAUCCCGACACGGGGAGGUAGUGACAAUAAAUACUGAUACAGGGCUCUUUUGGGUCUUGUAAUUGGAAUGAGUACAAUUUAAACCUCUUAACGAGGAACAAUUGGAGGGCAAGUCUGGUGCCAGCAGCCGCGGUAAUUCCAGCUCCAAUAGCGUAUAUUAAAGUUGUUGCAGUUAAAAAGCUCGUAGUUGAACCUUGGGUCUGGCUGGCAGGUCCGCCUCACCGCGUGUACUUGUCCGGCCGGGCCUUCCUUCUGGAGAACCUCAUGCCCUUCACUGGGCGUGUUGGGGACCAGGACUUUUACUUUGAAAAAAUUAGAGUGUUCAAAGCAGGCCUUUGCUCGAAUACGUUAGCAUGGAAUAAUAGAAUAGGACGUGCGGUCCUAUUUUGUUGGUUUCUAGGACCGCCGUAAUGAUUAAUAGGGACAGUCGGGGGCAUCAGUAUUCAAUUGUCAGAGGUGAAAUUCUUGGAUUUAUUGAAGACUAACUACUGCGAAAGCAUUUGCCAAGGAUGUUUUCAUUAAUCAGUGAACGAAAGUUAGGGGAUCGAAGACGAUCAGAUACCGUCGUAGUCUUAACCGUAAACUAUG